Molecule: unclassified non-coding RNA, 147 nt
Organism: Macaca fascicularis (crab-eating macaque)
Lineage: Eukaryota; Metazoa; Chordata; Mammalia; Primates; Cercopithecidae
Rfam family: Metazoan signal recognition particle RNA
About the family: The signal recognition particle (SRP) is a universally conserved ribonucleoprotein.
Source: Ensembl
GCUGGGUGUGGUGGUGCACACCUGUAAUCCCAGCUACUCGGGAGGCUGAGGUAUGAGAAUCUCUUGAACCCAGGAGGUGGAGGUUGUAGUGAGCCGAUAUUGCACACUGCACUCCUACCUGAGUGACAGAGAGAGACCCCAUCUCAA